CCCAGCACUUUGGGAGGCCGAGGCGGGAGGAUCACUUGAGGCCAGGAGUUUGAGACCAGCCUGGGCAACAUAGUGAGACUGUCUCUAACUUAAAUUUUAAUCACACACACAUUCUCUUUGGGGGGGGGUGCGGGGCACGGAGUCUAGCACGGGGCCCAGGCUAGAGUGCAGUGGCGUGAGCUCACUACAACCUCUGGCUCCUGGUUCAAGUGAGUCUCCUGCCUCAGCCUCCCCAGUAGCUGGGAUUACAGGUGCCCACCACCAUGCCAGGCUAAUUUUUGUAUUUUUAGUAGAGAUGGGGUUUCGCCAUGUUGGCCAGGCUGGUCUCGAACUCCUGACCUUAAGUGAUCCGCCCGCCUCAGCCUCCCAAAGUGCUGCAAUUACAGGCAUGAGCCACUAUGCCCAGCCACAUUCUUAACCUUAAAGGGCUCUGAAUAUGGAGAUAGAACACUGGAGUCGAAGUCCCAGCCCCCUCUGUCGCUCUCUCUGAAGCUCAGUGACUACUCCAGUAUUAAAUGAUGCAUGUAUAAAGUUAGUCACUCUAUCAUUAUCUGUAAUAGCAGAUGAUUGGAAAUGACCUAAAUGUCUCAUAAUAAGGAACUAGUUUUAAAAAGCAUGUUCCAUUCAUGCCUUGAAAUACUAUACAUUGAAAAAAUAAAAAUUGUAUAAAUAUGUGAAAAAAACAGUGUGUAUAUUAUACUACGACUUACUUCUUUGUGCAUAGAUGUUCUACAAGGCUAUAUAAAAGAUUGUUAAUUAUGGUUGUCUCUUGGGAGGGGGAGUUUAGAUUGUAUAAUGGGGUAGAAGGCUGACUUUUCGUUGUUUACUAUUCUGCACCUUCUGGAUUUUGUACUAUGUAUAUAUUUUAUAUAUUAAAAUAGCUUUAUAUAAAUAAAACUAGCCCCAU
RNAcentral lists this long non-coding RNA (907 nucleotides) under Homo sapiens (human). RNAcentral's name for it is "LHRI_LNC1323.1". The record is from RNAcentral. Lineage: Eukaryota; Metazoa; Chordata; Mammalia; Primates; Hominidae.